Molecule: transfer RNA, 73 nt
Filed under: Bos taurus (domestic cattle)
Lineage: Eukaryota; Metazoa; Chordata; Mammalia; Artiodactyla; Bovidae
Also listed under: 3 other names
Rfam family: tRNA
About the family: Transfer RNA (tRNA) molecules are approximately 80 nucleotides in length.
Source: Rfam by way of RNAcentral
UCCCUGGUAGUCCAAUGGUUAGGGCUCUAUACUUCCUCUGCAGGAGACCUGGGUUCAAUUCCCGGUCAGUAAA